This 497-nucleotide ribosomal RNA is filed under the name uncultured bacterium. Its description in RNAcentral is "partial 16S ribosomal RNA". It matches the Rfam family "Bacterial small subunit ribosomal RNA", at positions 28 to 507 of the family's 1533-position model. The record is from RNAcentral.
GAUGAACGCUGGCGGCGUGCCUAAUACAUGCAAGUCGAGCGAACGGACGAGAAGCUUGCUUUUCUGAUGUUAGCGGCGGACGGGUGAGUCACACGUGUAUACCCUCCCUAUAAGACUGGGAUAACUUCGGGAAACCGGAGCUAAUACCGUAUAAUAUUUUGCACCGCAUGGUUCAAAAGUGAAAUACGGUCUUGCUGUCACUUCUCGCUGGAUCCCGGCUGCAUUAGCUAGUUGGUAAGGUAACGGCUUACCAAGGCAACGAUGCGUAGCCGACCUGAGAGGGGGAUAGGCCGCACGGGAGGGGAGACACGGACCAGGCUACUAAGGGAGGCAGCAGUAGGGAAUGGUCCGCAAUGGGGGAAAGCAUGACGGAGCAAGGCGGAGUGAGUGAUGAAGGUCUUCGGAUCGUAAAAAUCGGUUAUGAGGGAAGAACAGAUGUGGAAGGAAAUGUGCACAGCGUGACGGUACCUAAUCAGAAAGCCACGGCUAACUACGUG